GAAUGGAUAUGCAGGUGAUACAGCUGAGUUAAGAAUGUUUAUUCGAGCGGAAGAAUGGAGCUAGGUCCCCGAUAUAAGCGGCGGACGGGUGAGUAACACGUGGGUAACCUGCCUGUAAGACUGGGAUAACUCCGGGAAACCGGAGCUAAUACCGGAUAGUUCCUUGAACCGCAUGGUUCAAGGAUGAAAGACGGUUUCGGCUGUCACUUACAGAUGGACCCGCGGCGCAUUAGCUAGUUGGUGGGGUAAUGGCUCACCAAGGCGACGAUGCGUAGCCGACCUGAGAGGGUGAUCGGCCACACUGGGACUGAGACACGGCCCAGACUCCUACGGGAGGCAGCAGUAGGGAAUCUUCCGCAAUGGACGAAAGUCUGACGGAGCAACGCCGCGUGAGUGAUGAAGGUUUUCGGAUCGUAAAGCUCUGUUGUUAGGGAAGAACAAGUGCGAGAGUAACUGCUCGCACCUUGACGGUACCUAACCAGAAAGCCACGGCUAACUACGUGCCAGCAGCCGCGGUAAUACGUAGGUGGCAAGCGUUGUCCGGAAUUAUUGGGCGUAAAGGGCUCGCAGGCGGUUUCUUAAGUCUGAUGUGAAAGCCCCCGGCUCAACCGGGGAGGGUCAUUGGAAACUGGGAAACUUGAGUGCAGAAGAGGAGAGUGGAAUUCCACGUGUAGCGGUGAAAUGCGUAGAGAUGUGGAGGAACACCAGUGGCGAAGGCGACUCUCUGGUCUGUAACUGACGCUGAGGAGCGAAAGCGUGGGGAGCGAACAGGAUUAGAUACCCUGGUAGUCCACGCCGUAAACGAUGAGUGCUAAGUGUUAGGGGGUUUCCGCCCCUUAGUGCUGCAGCUAACGCAUUAAGCACUCCGCCUGGGGAGUACGGUCGCAAGACUGAAACUCAAAGGAAUUGACGGGGGCCCGCACAAGCGGUGGAGCAUGUGGUUUAAUUCGAAGCAACGCGAAGAACCUUACCAGGUCUUGACAUCCUCUGACAACCCUAGAGAUAGGGCUUUCCCUUCGGGGACAGAGUGACAGGUGGUGCAUGGUUGUCGUCAGCUCGUGUCGUGAGAUGUUGGGUUAAGUCCCGCAACGAGCGCAACCCUUGAUCUUAGUUGCCAGCAUUCAGUUGGGCACUCUAAGGUGACUGCCGGUGACAAACCGGAGGAAGGUGGGGAUGACGUCAAAUCAUCAUGCCCCUUAUGACCUGGGCUACACACGUGCUACAAUGGACAGAACAAAGGGCUGCAAGACCGCAAGGUUUAGCCAAUCCCAUAAAUCUGUUCUCAGUUCGGAUCGCAGUCUGCAACUCGACUGCGUGAAGCUGGAAUCGCUAGUAAUCGCGGAUCAGCAUGCCGCGGUGAAUACGUUCUCGGGCCUUGUACACACCGCCCGUCACACCACGAGAGUCUCUAUAUUUUAUCUCGGUGCGCUAACCUUGUGACACAGUCCUCCGUGCUGUGGUUGUUUCGGUGCCGAC
Molecule: ribosomal RNA, 1476 nt
Filed under: Bacillus safensis
Lineage: Bacteria; Bacillati; Bacillota; Bacilli; Caryophanales; Bacillaceae
Description: bacterial SSU rRNA
Rfam family: Bacterial small subunit ribosomal RNA
Source: RNAcentral